GACAGAGGGUGCAAACGUUGUUCGGAAUUACUGGGCGUAAAGCGCGUGUAGGCGGCUCGGAAAGUCGGAUGUGAAAGCCCUGGGCUUAACCUAGGAAGUGCAUUCGAAACUCCCGUAGCUUGAGUUCUGGAGAGGAAGGCGGAAUUCUCGGUGUAGAGGUGAAAUUCGUAGAUAUCGAGAGGAACACCGGUGGCGAAGGCGGCCUUCUGGACAGUGACUGACGCUGAGACGCGAAAGCGUGGGGAGCAAACAGG
This 254-nucleotide ribosomal RNA is filed under the name uncultured bacterium. RNAcentral describes it as "partial 16S ribosomal RNA". It matches the Rfam family "Bacterial small subunit ribosomal RNA", at positions 524 to 776 of the family's 1533-position model. The record is from RNAcentral.